ACUGCAUCUUGAAAUUGACGUUGAAGAAAUCGUCAAUCCAAAUGGGGGAAGUAACUAUACAACGCAGUACAGAAAUUUGGAUAAACUGGUCAAACGCUUGGACUUGGAAAUAUUGUCUAAAUUGGAUGGUUCUUCAAAAGCUACUACAAGUAAUCCUGCAAGGGCUGAGGGUAGUGAAAGAUCAUCUGCAGUUGUAAAUGAGCCUACUUCUGGAAUCCCUGAGACUCGUAGCCCCCCGUCGAAUAUGCCUCUUUAUGGAAUUCCUGAGCGUCCUGGUCCACUGAUCGAUCCUUCAGGAGUUGUAAUUCCUCCUAUUAACCCCCUUGGUGGUGGCGAUCUUUUUCCUGGACCUGGUGCUGGAAUGUACCCUGCUAGAGGCGGUUUUAGUGGCGAUGGAAGCAUGCUUAUAGGACCUAAUGAUCCGCGAUGGUUCGGAAUUGGUAGAGGACCUGGUUUUCAAGGCGGGCAGCCUGGUGUACCUCCAGGUGCUCGUUUUGAUCCAUAUGGUCCACCUGAUGUUCCUGGGUUCGAGCCAAAUCGGUUUGUUAGAAAUCCUCG
Molecule: unclassified non-coding RNA, 558 nt
Filed under: Hevea brasiliensis (rubber tree)
Lineage: Eukaryota; Viridiplantae; Streptophyta; Magnoliopsida; Malpighiales; Euphorbiaceae
Source: RNAcentral